CCGCCCUUAGCUCAGUUGGUCAGAGCGCCUUGCUUAUACCAAGGAUGCCCCACGUUCGAGUCGUGGAGGGCGGACAA
RNAcentral lists this transfer RNA (77 nucleotides) under Candidatus Nomurabacteria bacterium RIFCSPHIGHO2_01_FULL_40_24b. Its description in RNAcentral is "tRNA-Ile". RNAcentral also lists the same sequence under 1 other name. The record is from RNAcentral. Lineage: Bacteria; Candidatus Nomuraibacteriota.